CCCUUAGAUGUUCUGGGCCGCACGCGUGCUACACUGAGUAAUUCAAUGGGUAAGGGAACGCUAGAGCAUUACCUAAUCUUGAAAUUUGCUCGUGAUGGGGAUCGACGGUUGCAAUUUUCCGUCGUGAACGAGGAAUACCUUGUAGGCGCAUGUCAUCAUCAUGCGCCGAAUACGUCCCUGCCCUUUGUACACACCGCCCGUCGCUCCUACCGAUUGAGUGAUCCGGUGAGGCUCUGGGACCUAGACGGAAAGAGCGUUUCGCUUGUUCUGUUUGGGAAACUUGGUCGAACCUUAUCAUUUAGAGGAAGGAGAAGUCGUAACA
RNAcentral lists this ribosomal RNA (322 nucleotides) under uncultured eukaryote. RNAcentral's name for it is "partial 18S ribosomal RNA". It matches the Rfam family "Eukaryotic small subunit ribosomal RNA", at positions 1470 to 1796 of the family's 1831-position model. The record is from RNAcentral.